Molecule: ribosomal RNA, 584 nt
Filed under: uncultured bacterium
Lineage: Bacteria
Description: partial 16S ribosomal RNA
Rfam family: Bacterial small subunit ribosomal RNA
Source: RNAcentral
UGGGGAAUUUUGGACAAUGGGCGAAAGCCUGAUCCAGCAAUGCCGCGUGUGUGAAGAAGGCCCUUCGGGUUGUAAAGCACUUUUGUCCGGAAAGAAAUCCUCUGGGUUAAUACCUCGGGGGGAUGACGGUACCGGAAGAAUAAGCACCGGCUAACUACGUGCCAGCAGCCGCGGUAAUACGUAGGGUGCAAGCGUUAAUCGGAAUUACUGGGCGUAAAGCGUGCGCAGGCGGUUUGCUAAGACCGAUGUGAAAUCCCCGGGCUCAACCUGGGAACUGCAUUGGUGACUGGCAGGCUAGAGUAUGGCAGAGGGGGGUAGAAUUCCACGUGUAGCAGUGAAAUGCGUAGAGAUGUGGAGGAAUACGAUGGCGAAGGCAGCCCCUGGGCCAAUACUGACGCUCAUGCACGAAAGCGUGGGGAGCAAACAGGAUUCAGAUACCCUGGUAGUCCACGCCCUAAACGAUGUCAACUAGUUGUUGGGGAUUCAUUUCCUUAGUAACGUAGCUAACGCGUGGAAGUUGACCGCCUGGGGAGUACGGUCGCAAGAUUAAACUCAAGGAAUUGACGGGGUCAUAGCUGUUUCCU